Molecule: ribosomal RNA, 407 nt
Filed under: uncultured bacterium
Lineage: Bacteria
Description: partial 16S ribosomal RNA
Rfam family: Bacterial small subunit ribosomal RNA
Source: RNAcentral
AUUGAACGCUGGCGGCAGGCCUAACACAUGCAAGUCGAGCGGAGCGGCGGACGGGGGAGUGAUGCUUAGGAAUCUGCCUGGUACUGGGGGAUAACGUUCGGAAACGGGCGCGAAUACCGCAUACUAUCAGAUGAGCCUAGGGCGGAUUAGCUUUUUGGUGGGGUAAAGGCCUACCAAGGCCCCGAUCCGUAACUGGUCUGAGAGAAGGAUGAGUAAAACUGGAACUGAGACACGGUCAGGACUCCUACGGGGGGCAGCGGUGGGAAAUAUUGGACAAUGGGCGAAGGCCGGAGCCGGCCAGGCCGCGUGUGUGAGGAAGGUCUCCGGAUUGAAAGGCACUUUAGGUUGGGAGGCUUUACCAACAGAAUAAGCACCGGCUAGCUUCGUGCAAGCAGCCGCGGUAAUUC